GGCCUGGUGGUGUAGUGGUAACACAUCCUCUCUAAUUAUUCAUGUCAAAUCUGGAAAAGAUCAGAGGAAGGUCCCUGUUCAAUUCGGGGCCAGGCCA
Molecule: non-coding RNA, 97 nt
Organism: Mycena galericulata
Lineage: Eukaryota; Fungi; Basidiomycota; Agaricomycetes; Agaricales; Mycenaceae
Source: the annotation of a GenBank genome assembly